This is a long non-coding RNA of Cyprinus carpio carpio, 5257 nucleotides long. The record is from Ensembl. NCBI's taxonomy places the organism in Eukaryota, Metazoa, Chordata, Actinopteri, Cypriniformes, Cyprinidae.
UAUGUCAACACUGCAGAGAAAGUAAAAACAGAACAAGUAAAAUAUUUAAAAGUAUUUUAAGUUCUGGAUAUUUUAUUAGGGCUCAAGCCUGGAGGGCGAGAGCCCUAUUGUUUUCCUUAGGAUUAUUUUUUAUUAUUAUUAUUAUUAUUAUUAUUAUUAGGGCCCGAGCCAAUGGGCGCAGGGCCCUAUUGUUUUUCUAAGGAUUAUUCUUAUUAUUAUUAUUAUUAUUAUAUAACCUUCCGGGGGUUUUUUUGGGAGGCCUUAACAUACUCAAAAAAACUCUUGAAAAAUUGGCACACACAUUGGAACCUGCGGCCAUCAGGACGCCGCAGAGGCUGGGACCCGGGCGUGGCACAGGGGCUCUACGGCGCCCCCUGGAACACAGUCAGAAAUAUUGAACCAUAGCGCACACAUACUUGCAUGUAUUUAUAUGAAACUCUGUACACUUAUAGAUCUCAUUGAGCCGAACAACUUUCGCGCUCUAUAUCAUAGGCUCCGCCCAACAGGAAGUGAGCUAUUCAGGGCUGGCACACACAUUGGAACCUGCGGCCAUCAGGACGCCGCAGAGGCUGGGACCCGGGCGUGGCACAGGGGGUCUACGGCGCCCCCUGGAACACAGUCAGAAAUCUUGAACCAUAGCUCACACAUACUUGCAUGUAUUUAUAUAAAACUCAGUACACUUAUAGAUCUCAUUGAGCCGAACAACUUUCGCGCUCUAUGUCAUAGGCUCCGCCCAACAGGAAGUGAGCUAUUCAGGGCUGUUUAAAAAAAGCAUGCUCUGGAAUUUGAAAUACUCCUCUGAGGUUUUCCACCCGUUCUCCACGAAAACUCGGUGAAACAUGAUCUCAAGACAUUGGGGAUGAAAAAAAUUGCCAGGGGAUUUUUUUGAUAUCUCGAACGGUUUGUCCGUGGCGAGGCGUUGAAAAUUAGGGCAAAAAAUGAGAAACAGGAAAUGUCUAAUAACAUCCACAUACAUUUUCUGAUUUACAUCAAACUUCAUCGGAUUGUUUGAUGUAUGAUGCCGAUCGCAUAGAUGUGACUAUUAGGAGUCAAAGUUAUAGCGCCACCAACUGGCAGCAGGAAAGUGUGUCAUUUUCAAAAAUGCUUUGAAUUCAGCAUCUUAUUUUUUUACUCGAUUUGCUUCAAACUUCAUCAGAAUAAUGACAAAACACGGCCGAUGUAAAUCUGUUGUGGGGAUAUUGAUAUCUAAUAUCGUGUUGCCCAUGGCAACGUGACAAACUUGAAUAUUCUGUUCUGGUGAUUUUGAGGCAGAUAACAUGCUCAGAAUUACAUGAAACUCAAAACACAUAUCAGUAUUAAUGAUAGCUAGACAAUGGCAAAAAGGUCAUAAAUGGGCGUGGAGGAGGCACUCUAUAGCGCCACCUUUUUGUCAAAAAGUGGGGGGUUAGUUUUAGCUACAGACACCAAACUCGGUACAUAAAUUGUUCUUAUCAAGACGGACAACUUUCUAAUUUACAGUCAUCAGCUACGACCAACAGGAAGUUGGCUAUUUUGGUUUAAAUGUGGAUUUUUGGAAAAAUAUUGCUGUGAAUUAAUGCAUACUGCUCAGAGGAGAAAUUACACUAUACACACCAAACUUUUUCUACAUGAUGCCAAAACAUUGAGGAACUUAAAUUGUGAAUGGAUUUUGGAUACCUUGAACGGUUUUGCCAUGGUGAUUUUUUGAAAUAACAGUAAAAAGGGAAACAUUAAUUGUCUUGUAUUUUUUUAAAUUGCAGCUUGCAAACACUUCAAACCCAUUUUUUUCAUACAUAGAACAAGUCAUUUCUGAGGAAAUAUGCAUAGUUUCACGAUUUUACAACACUGUAUGGAUAACAGAAAAUUAAAAAACUGUCAGACAUCUGAUCUCACUCUCUAAGGCCACUCUCUCUCUGUGUGAGAGAAGGGAGGGGUUUGGUGACUGAGUGUGUGUGCUGUUGGUGACUGACUAAGUGACUGACUCUGUUGUUGGUGACUGAGUGUGUGAAGGGAGGGGGGUGGGGGUGCUUGAGGGCCUGCCUGACAGAGAGAGAGAGAGAGAGAGUUAACAUCUCUUUAAUCACCAGAAGAAAAAAAAAAUCAGUAAUUGUGUUGUUGUUUUUUUUAUUUUUUUUCAUCAUUACAGCUUAAGAAAUCUCUUAGGCCUUAUCCUUUUCUGUCAGUUUUGGGGCCAAAAAAAAAAAAAAACCCUAGUACAAUUUGUAGGGCUCAGACAACAUUAUUUUACAUAAUUAGGUUAAGAAUUAUGUUAAUUGCAACAUAAAAAGAUUUUUUAAAAAUACAAACACAUGGAUAUAUAUUUAUAUUAUUCUGUAAAUAAUUUGAAACUUAUUUGGUACUGACCUAUGACAGACAUUCUGUGACAUGACAUUUACACAAUCUCAUGGAUGUAACAGUAAAACAGUUCAGCUCACAGAUGAAGACAAGCUGUAAUGCAGGCAAAAAUAUUUUACAAAUGCUUAUAGAUCAAUAAAAUCGUUAAAAAUGUUUUUUCGCCGAGUGCAUAAUAAUAAUAAUUAGUCACAUUGAUAUUCUGGUGAUAUUUUUUUCCAAGCACAUUUUACCAAUUCCAAAUCACAUCAAUCUUAAUAAAUACUAUACAUUUGUUAUUUAAUCAUUUAUGAGUGAUAUAUAAUUGUCCUUGAAGGCUGGAAGUGAAAAACUCCUUAUAUUCAGGAGUGCUGAAUUAUUAGGCAUGUUUUUUUGCCAUGCAUUGGUCAUAGAGCUCAUUGUAGCGGUGUCUCAGGUGUUGAAAUAGAUUUGUUAUACAUUAUACAGGUUCACACGUACUCUGUCUGCAGUGCGUAUACAGUAUGUGUAUGCGGUGCAGAAGCAGCAGCGAGAGCGCGUUAUUGUAACGCGAAAGAACAUUAAAAAUAAUGCGCGAGUGCGAAUCUAUCCGCUCACAAAACCAGACACGCGUGCUCAGAUACAUGCUCUAGCCCGGAGAGAAUGCGCGCACUUAAAACGUGCUUCCUCUCGCUCUGUGUCAUGUGAAUUCACAACACUCUCUGUGCUCAUGCGCUAGAUAUUCAUUCUUUUCGCACCUUUUUAUUUCUAACCUUUUCUGUUCACAUCUUUUACCGUGUGCAGUGUGAACGCUCUGAUCCAUUAACAUGGGCUCGGAAAAAAAUACGCAUCACAGACAGAGCUUGUAAACCUGGCCUUACGUAGGCAUAUGCCCUGUCUGUCCUGUUCUCGCGCUCCAUUUAGGCGCCCUUCAUUCUGACUGGUUCAGAUAGCAACACCAAACGUGCAGUGUGUAAUACCAAUCAUGGCCACCACCAGGUGGAGCUAUAGGAUUACUUUUAAAUAAUUGUUGUUGAAACGUGUAUAGAGCAUUUAAAUUCAUUUAUAAAAAAAUCUUUCAAAAAAAUAUGUAUUCUUUAAAAGCUAAUGAAUUUUACUGGUAAUAUAGUUUUAUAUAAUCAUUUCACAAAUGUUUAUAGAUCAUUAAAAGGAUUUUUAACACUGGUUAUAGAUCAUGAAAAGUGUUGUCAACAAUUUAUAAUAAGCUCUUUUUGGUUUACAUUAGUUAAUGCAAUAACUAACAUGAACUAACAAUGCACAAUCUAUUUUUCAGAUCUUUUAUUAAUCUUUUUUUAUGUUAGUUAAUCCUAUCAUUAAAAAUAUUAAUAUUCAUGUUAUUUCACAGUACAUAAACUAAUCUUAAAAUAAAACUGUAAAUAAAAAAAUUAGUAGUAAAUAAUGUAUUAAAAUAUUUUUAACUAAGCUUUAAUUAACAUUAAUAUAUAUAAUUUUAUGUUAAAUAAUAUAGUAUUUAACAUUAGUACAAGCUAAGUAUGAACAAAAUAUUUUUACUGCAUUUGUUUGUGUUAGUAAUUUUUAGUUAGUAAAUUAAUAUGUUAAAUCAUGGUAUAGUAACUGAUGUACAUUAACUAUAAAUUUUAAUUAAUAAUGUAGUAAUCCAUUUUGAACAUAAUAUUAACUAAGAUCCAUAAAUGCUAUAUAAAUGAUGUACUUGUUAACUUAUAUAAUGUUAAAAACUAAAUCCUUAUUGAAAAGUGUUACAAUAAUAAGAAUAAUAAUAAUAAUUUAUUUGUGUGUGGUUGUGUGUGUAAGUGAGUGUGUGAGAAAGACAGAUAGAGAGACUCACAUUAAUAAAUGCCAUACAGUUGUUGUUAAUGUAAUUUAAUAUAAUUCAUGUUAAUAACUGAAACCUUAUUGGAAGUGUUACUCAAGUUUUAUAUAUUGUGUUGUGUGUGUGCUUGAUGGUUUGGAUUAACCCUUUCAUUGCUGUAUCCCUUAAAUCCAAACUGCUAAAUUAAGUAUGCCCAAUCCUGUUCCUGGCGAUCGACUGUCCUGAAAAGUUCAGAUCCAACUCUAAUCAGUCACACCUACCUUUAAUUUUCAAGCAAUCCUGAAGACAUUAAUUAGUUGCUUCAGGUGUGUUUGAGUAGGGUUGGAGCUAAACUUUGCAGGACAGUCGAUCGCCAUUAACAGGGUUGGACACCCCUGAGCUAGAGGGUUAUUGUGUAUGUCUCCACUGGGCACACUUUGACUGAUGGCACCGGGGUGGCGUUUGCGCUGACGGCUCGGGCCCGCCAUCGCUGCUUGCAGCUAUAUUUAUUAUUAUUAUUAUUAUUUUUUUCCAACGUCUCGGGGGCUUUUGGGGCCCUUAACAUACUCGAAAACUCUUGAAAAUUGGCACACACAUUGGAACCUGCGGCCAUUAGGGCCGGGCAGAGACUGAUACACGGGCGUGGCACAGGGGCUCUACAGCGCCCCCUGGAAUAUGGAGGGCCAUAUAUCAUACAUACUUGCACGUAGACGUAUGAAACUCGGUACACAUAUAGAUCUCAUCAAGCCAAACAACUUUCGUACUGCAUGUCAUAGGCUCCGCCCAACAGGAAGUUGGCUAUUUAGGGUUUAGUAUUCUUAUUUUUCGUCAAAGUUGUGGGGGCUUUUGGGGCCCUUAACAUGCUCAAAAACUCUUGAAAAUUUGCACACACCUUAGAAUCUGUGGCCAUUAGGAGGCUGCAGAGGCUGAGACCCGGGCGUGGCACAGGGGCUCUACGGCGCCCCCUGGAACACAGUCAGAAAUGUUGAUGUAUAGUUCAAACAUACUUGCACGUAUUCAUAUGAAACUCAGUACACAUAUAGAUCUCAUUGUGCCGAACAACUUUCGUAUUGCAUGUCAUAGGCUCCGCCCAACAGGAAGUCAGCUAUUUAGAGCUAUGUAAAAAGUGCAUGCUCUGGAAUUUGAUAUACUUGUCAUGAGGUUUUUCACCCGAUU